Molecule: long non-coding RNA, 1807 nt
Organism: Rhododendron vialii
Lineage: Eukaryota; Viridiplantae; Streptophyta; Magnoliopsida; Ericales; Ericaceae
Exons: 6
Source: RefSeq, a predicted model, not a curated record
AGCAAACAUGAGCUUGGACACGAACAAUUUGGUUCAUUUAUCCGCUGUAGGUAGAACUCAUGGCUAGGCUGAAGACAAUAACAAAAGAACUGGCUCUGAUGUAGUAGCUGAUCAGGGGUCGAACUGUAAAAAAGAACUAACGAGGGGCUGAAUCUGCGAUUUAUCGAUGUGAUUACGGGGAAAGGAAUAUGCACCUGAAACCCUAAUGCACAUAGGCAAUUGAACCAACGGUGAGCGCGGCAGGUAACGACGGCAACGGAAGAACAGACCGCCGCCGGCGCGACGGUAAGAAGAUGGCGGUGCUGGGGGCGGCAGGUGGCGGUGCGUUGAAACUCCUGCGGUGUUUUUUCCCCCGACGAAGUCCCUUGGAGAAGAGGGAGGAAAGUAUGGAGAAUUUUGUGGUCAUGGAUUCGAAAAAGGAACCACAACGCUAGAGUGGGACAGAAAUGGCAUUUUCUUAGAUGGGGCCUCAGGAUUUAAAAAGCAUUUCAUGAAUAACAAGGAAGCUACGUAUGUGGAUCAACCAUGGGAGAACAUGUAUGCCAUGUAGUCCACAUGAUAAGGAUAACCUUGCAUGUCAGAUUAUUGUUUCUAAGCACACCAUAUACGUAGCUUCAUGGUCAUGUCGGGAAAUGCAAAAGUGUGGCUCCUGAAAGCAGCUCUGCUACUGCAACUGAUGUGAAGAUGAGACUUGAUAGAGAAACCGAAACAGAAAAUAUAAGCAGCUAUAUGACCACUUCUGUUUUACUGUUCCUGACAAUUAGUAGCAUAGUCUAAAAUGGGGACCCGUGUUUAUAGACAAAGAUACUUGUUACAAAAUGGAGGUUGUGAAUGUUCAAUCUAGACAGAUUGUGAAUGGAUGGACUCUCUUCAAUAGUGCGGAUUUCUUGGUUCCAACAUGCAUAUGUUGUUAUUGGAGGAAUCUAACGGCGAUUAGAAGCAAAUCCUAAAGGCAGCAGGGAAAUAGUGGUCCACAAGUCUCACUCGUUUUUUACAAUCUAAGUAAUUCUCUGACUCUAAAUUUUAUUUUUAUUUUCCUUUCUCGGUACUCUACAUUUGUUGAUUAUUUGAAAACUUCCUCAUGUUUGUCAUUUCUUUCCUAUGUUUGUGCCACAAUUCAUCCUUCAAAUGGUAUUAUACUAUUGAGAUGCUUCUGCUUCUAAUUCGAUUCACCACGAUGGAAAGAUGAUAUCACUCCUUGCAUAUAACCAAAAUGUCUCGCAUUAAGCCUGAAAAUGCCAGCAUUUGGUAUUCAUCGAUUGAUAAUUGUCGUGCCCUUUAUCGUUUGCUGCUGGUGCUGAGCAAAGCAACAAUUCUGAAACGUAACUCAGAGAACUCAUGGUAGUGACAACCCUGUUUCAGCUUCUGCAACUGAUGCCCAAAGAACGAAGCUAGGCAAGUAAUGAAACAAACUUGAGUCAUCUCGAGAAUCAAGGAGGCUUGCUGGGUUGCUCAAAGGCGUCAGCCAAUCUUUUUUUUACAACUCGGUAUCCGGCCCAAUAUCUUCGGUGAUCAACAGAUCUGAAAAGUGAAGUCGGAGAGCCUCAAAAGCUUCCUGGACUGCUAAUCCAGGGAAACCAAUUACAUCAUCCCAUAGCAGGGUGGCCUCCGUUAAUCCUGGCCAACAAGAUUGUUCCGAUAGGAAUUGGAAGUCCGACAACCAUUUGUAUGAAUUCCUCCUAUGUAUGUUGCUUUAUUUGCAUCUUUUGAGUUUUGACACUCUGUGACCUGCAUUUGGUAUCCAUUGUUGUUACCCUAGAUAAUUUUUGAAGUUAUAUGGGAGGUCUCCUUUCGGCCACACCGGCAA